GGGCGUGGUUUAUGUGUUAGUCAUUGUUGGUGGACAGGAAGCUCCUGGAAGCUCCUUCACAACGUCCUAAACAUGGAAACAGAGAGCUUGAAUAUUACCCCCUCUUUGAUGGAAAUGAGCGACUACUGUAAGCGAUUGGACCCGGCAUGUAGGGAGAGAUAUUUGGCGAUUGUGGGAAAAUAUGUAGGGAAAGACCUCUACUUGAUGAAGAUGUCGGAAUUUUCUCAAGAUCGACAACAUUUACCCAAGAUUGAGGCUGUGGACAUCACAAGUUACUUGGUGCUCCAGACAUCCUACUACACAAGGGAACAAAUGAAGGCCCACAAAAGUUUGGACUCGUACAAUUUUUACCAUAAUGGCUGGAUCAGCAAGAUGGGCGUAAAACGCCUAAACAACAACAACGUUUUGCUGUUUGCCAGGGUCAACCACUCUCAGAGAUCCCACGAAACCCCGCUGAAAACGUGGGUUAUUGCCUCGAAAGAUGGGGACGUCCAGGCUGGGCACUGCGAUUGUAUGGCAGGACUGUCAGAAUCGUGUUCUCAUGUUGGGGCUGUCCUGUUCGCUGUGGAGGACAUGGUGAAGCGUGAAGAUGAACUCGCAUGCACCUCAAAACCCUGCGAGUGGCUGAUGCCAUCACAUGUGAAAAAGAUCCCCCCUGCCCCGGUUGCUUGCAUCGACUUCCGCUCUUCACAGGCCAAAAGACAGAACCGGGACAGUUUCAGUGAAGCUGCAGCAGCUCGUGCGAAGAGAACACGUCGUUCUCCAGUGGAGCCAGGUUCAGAGAAGUACAUGAGCUACUUUCAGGAGUUGACAGAAAACUUUCCCAAGAGUGCAGCUUUGAUGGCCAGGGACCCUUUUCAUAAGGCAUUCAUUCCAAAAUCCACUAAGCUUCCUAAAAGCGUUCUAGAGUAUAGAACACCACUCACGCUACAGCUACAACCCAAAGAACUUGAGCAGCUUUGCCAGGCCUUCGAGCUGGAUGAACUCACCACCGCCCAGGUUGGGGCAAUAGAGAGAGCCACUCGAGGUCAGAGUAGCAGCAAGACCUGGUUUAGACAGAGAGCAGGGCGGAUAACAGCCUCCAACCGGAGACGUGUACUCCACACCAACGCAGAGAAGCCAGCAAAGGCUUUAAUCAAGGCCAUAUGCUACCCUGAGGCACAUAGGUUCAGCACAGCUGCUACAACGUAUUUACAGGGUCAUCAGUGGUUUUCAGAAUGUUAUGGAAACAAGCACGAAGGGCAAGCCAGGAGAGCCUAUGAGAGGAUGAUGACCCAAGAACAUGAGGGGUUCUCCUGUAUGGACAGUGGACUCUGGGUGAACCCAAAGUGGCCUUAUAUGGGGGCCUCACCUGACGGCAUGGUCGCUUGCAACUGCCAUGGCAAUGGUAUCUGUGAGAUCAAGCAGUGCAGUGCCAGCUCGUCUUUGGUGAUGUGCUGAUUGACGAGUGUCAGUGAUGCCAGGGACACCUUUCUGUCUCAGCUGCUCCCGCUUGGCCUGACGCAGCGAGGCAACAUCUCCUCUGUCCCAUUCAAAAAUGCAGCUCGACAGCUUCGCCAUGAACACAGGGUACAGAUGAUGAGCAUCCUUUGUACACCCAGAUGCCAGUCGCCGCAUGAAUUGAUGUCCAGCUUGACUAUCAGGUCUGGCCACCCACCAAAUCUCUCCUUCAGUUUCGUCCAUCCUCUGCCCUCCUGACAACAGUCACAGUCAAUGUAAAGUAUUAGCAGUUAAAAAUACUUACCUUUUUUGUGGAGUCCAUUUUCAGGAUUCUGCCAAAGGUGGACGUUAUGCUGGCUUUGAUGUGGUCCAGCCUGCUCAAAAUGUCACGGCCAUAACAGCCAGCAUCCAUCUGUGUGAUGGAACAUCCACAUGCUCAGGAGGGUCCUGGAAUUUCACGGGGAAAAGGCUCGGCCUGGCGGCAAAGUCAGAGCAUGCUCCAAGCACAGCUCGAGUGAGGACACGGCCAGUGGGAUGGGCGUCAGCAGCAGGCGUGGAGCUGCCGGGGCCGGUGGAGACGCCGGGGCCGCUG
Larimichthys crocea (large yellow croaker) is the source of this 2032-nucleotide RNA transcript. RefSeq lists it as uncharacterized. The transcript has 8 exons. Lineage: Eukaryota; Metazoa; Chordata; Actinopteri; Sciaenidae. The record is from RefSeq and is a predicted model, not a curated record.